Long non-coding RNA from Culex quinquefasciatus (southern house mosquito), 518 nucleotides. RefSeq lists it as uncharacterized. The record is from RefSeq and is a predicted model, not a curated record. NCBI's taxonomy places the organism in Eukaryota, Metazoa, Arthropoda, Insecta, Diptera, Culicidae. The transcript is spliced from 3 exons.
GAAGCUCGAUGACAUUUCGCCGCGAUUCGCCGAAGCGGUUUUGGGAUGGUUGUGUGAGUGCAAAGUGUCAAAAUCUCGUCACAACUCAGGACCUCUCAGGACGGUGAAGGAUCCGGGCAUUCCGGGUUAUCUUUGGUCCGUUUCUUGCGUAAAAAUGUGGUCCUUCACCAAAAAUCCUCUUCCCGAGCCGUAGCAGAUUCUUCAAGGCAAGCUCCCCCACUGGAGGCAGCAGAAGCAGCCGCUGCUGUUAAACUAACCGUACCUCGACACGUACAAUUUUCUUGAAGUGGUUGCACUUUUUCUUUUCUCCAGCUGGAGGGGGAAGGCGACGCGGACUUUUCUUUGGGCAAAAUUUUUCCUGCUGCUUCUUAUGAGAGAGCUGCCCCCAGUAUGACGAAAAGGAAACUACCUCCAGUUGAUUUGGAAUCGGCAAGUGUCCGGUAGCUGGUGGCGGCCGCUACCUAUCAGAAAUAAGGCCACGCUCCAGCACCACGAUGACCAGCACCGCAGUUGGUUGA